RNAcentral lists this non-coding RNA (74 nucleotides) under marine sediment metagenome. RNAcentral describes it as "c-di-GMP-I riboswitch aptamer". It matches the Rfam family "c-di-GMP-I-GGC riboswitch aptamer". The record is from RNAcentral. RNAcentral also lists the same sequence under 1 other name.
CGCUAAAGGCAAACCCAUCGCAAGGUGGGGACGCAAAGCCACGGGCCCGUUCCCUUCGGGCAGCCGGGCUGCCG